CCAAUAGCGUAUAUUAAAGUUGUUGCAGUUAAAAAGCUCGUAGUUGAAUUUCGGGAUUUGUCCAUUGGUCGGGCCUCACGGUCCGUACUGGUGUGAUGGGUUCCUACCUUCUGAAUAACCAGCAUGCCAUUUAUUUGGUGCGCCGGGGAAGCAGAGCUAUUACCUUGAAAAAAUUAGAGUGCUUAAAGCGGGCUAUUGCUUGAAUAGAUUAGCAUGGAAUAAUAAAAUAGGACGGCAUGGUUCUAUUUUGUUGGUUUCUAGGAUCACCGUAAUGAUUAAUAGGGAUAGUUGGGGGCAUUAGUAUUCAAUUGUCAGAGGUGAAAUUCUUGGAUUUAUUGAAGACUAACUUCUGCGAAAGCAUUUGCCAAGGAUGUUUUCAUUAAUCAAGAACGAAAGUUAGGGGAUCGAAGACGAUCAGAUACCGUCGUAGUCUUAACCAUAAACUAUGCCGACUAGGGAUCGGACGAUGUUAAUUUUAUAAUGACUCGUUCGGCGCCUUACG
Molecule: ribosomal RNA, 502 nt
Filed under: uncultured Glomeromycotina
Lineage: Eukaryota; Fungi; Glomeromycota
Description: partial small subunit ribosomal RNA
Rfam family: Eukaryotic small subunit ribosomal RNA
Source: RNAcentral